ACUCCUACGGGAGGCAGCAGUGGGGAAUAUUGCACAAUGGGCGCAAGCCUGAUGCAGCGACGCCGCGUGGGGGAUGACGGCCUUCGGGUUGUAAACCCCUUUCAGCACAGACGAAGCGCAAGUGACGGUAUGUGCAGAAGAAGCACCGGCCAACUACGUGCCAGCAGCCGCGGUAAUACGUAGGGUGCGAGCGUUGUCCGGAAUUACUGGGCGUAAAGAGCUCGUAGGUGGUUUGUCGCGUUGUCCGUGAAAACUCACAGCUUAACUGUGGGCGUGCGGGCGAUACGGGCAGACUGGAGUACUGCAGGGGAGACUGGAAUUCCUGGUGUAGCGGUGGAAUGCGCAGAUAUCAGGAGGAACACCGGUGGCGAAGGCGGGUCUCUGGGCAGUAACUGACGCUGAGGAGCGAAAGCGUGGGGAGCGAACAGGAUUAGAUACCCUGGUAGUCCACGCCGUAAACGGUGGGUACUAGGUGUGGGUUUCCUUCCUUGGGAUCCGUGCCGUAGCUAACGCAUUAAGUACCCCGCCUGGGGAGUACGGCCGCAAGGCUAAAACUCAAAGAAAUUGACGGGGGCCCGCACAAGCGGCGGAGCAUGUGGAUUAAUUCGAUGCAACGCGAAGAACCUUACCUGGGUUUGACAUGCACAGGACGCUGGUAGAGAUAUCAGUUCCCUUGUGGCCUGUGUGCAGGUGGUGCAUGGCUGUCGUCAGCUCGUGUCGUGAGAUGUUGGGUUAGGUCCCGCAACGAGCGCAACCCUUGUCUCAUGUUGCCAGCACGUAAUGGUGGGGACUCGUGAGAGACUGCCGGGGUCAACUCGGA
This 820-nucleotide ribosomal RNA is filed under the name uncultured Actinomycetes bacterium. RNAcentral's name for it is "bacterial SSU rRNA". It matches the Rfam family "Bacterial small subunit ribosomal RNA", at positions 335 to 1167 of the family's 1533-position model. The record is from RNAcentral. Lineage: Bacteria; Bacillati; Actinomycetota; Actinomycetes.